CUUCAUAUGACACUCCUAAUUAGGCUCAAAAAGCAUUGAGAAAGGAGGGCAGUGAAGAGAUAUUUUUAUCAGUUACUGCAUUUUGAAAGAGCACUUGGAAUAAAACAAAAGGGAAAGAACCAGUGGAUAGAAGAUUCCUGAGAGGAGAACAAGGGAAGGAAUAGCAGAAGAGUGGUAUUUACUUGAGUGUGCACUUGUGCUUAUCUAAAAACACUUGCUAUCGAUGAUGAAAGAACAGAAUUUAUUUGGAGUAAGAUGUGGCAGUAUGGACUGAGUCUCUGGAAAAGUUGCAGCACCAGAUUUGGUUUGAGAAUGUACUGCAUUCCCAUCCACCAGGCUACAGCGACUGGAACUCCACCACAUAACUUCUCUUUUUUAAGGAGGGAAACAAGAAAGCACCUUAUGUCCAGCCUGAGAAGGCACUUGUUAAGACUGCUAUUGAUAGGAGAGACAGUUUCAUCCUUACAAGAAAGACUCAAGAGCAUCUUCACUGUAACCACAGAGACUUGAUCACAGGCUUUACUCUUCAUCCAUGAUUGGAAUCAGCCUGGCCCAGUAAAGUCAAAAGUGAGGCUGUGAUCUGGCCAGUGUAUAUUUAAAAGAAUUGUGAGAGAAAACGAAAGCCAUUGACUAAGGAGGAGGGAGUGAUUGAACUCUUUCAGUUCACUAUUUUCUCACUUUACCACUAGCAUUGAUGUAUGCAGAGAGAAACAGUAACAGCCUGGCAAUGCUGACUUCCUAAUCAUACUGUAUAGACAGAAAACAGGGAGUAAAUUAAUCUAUUAGA
Molecule: long non-coding RNA, 787 nt
Organism: Pipra filicauda (Wire-tailed manakin)
Lineage: Eukaryota; Metazoa; Chordata; Aves; Passeriformes; Pipridae
Exons: 3
Source: RefSeq, a predicted model, not a curated record